RNAcentral lists this ribosomal RNA (1015 nucleotides) under uncultured bacterium. RNAcentral's name for it is "bacterial SSU rRNA". It matches the Rfam family "Bacterial small subunit ribosomal RNA", at positions 353 to 1371 of the family's 1533-position model. The record is from RNAcentral.
AGUGAGGAAUAUUGGACAAUGGGCGGGAGCCUGAUCCAGCCAUGCCGCGUGCAGGAAGACGGUCCUAUGGAUUGUAAACUGCUUUUGUACGGGAAGAACAAGGGGCACGUGUGCCCCUCUGACGGUACCGUAAGAAUAAGGAUCGGCUAACUCCGUGCCAGCAGCCGCGGUAAUACGGAGGAUCCGAGCGUUAUCCGGAAUCAUUGGGUUUAAAGGGUCCGUAGGCGGGCCAUUAAGUCAGGGGUGAAAGUCUGCGGCUCAACCGUAGAAUUGCCCUUGAUACUGGUGGUCUUGAGUUAUGGUGAAGUAACUAGAAUAUGUAGUGUAGCGGUGAAAUGCAUAGAUAUUACAUAGAAUACCGAUUGCGAAGGCAGGUUACUAACCAUAUACUGACGCUGAUGGACGAAAGCGUGGGGAGCGAACAGGAUUAGAUACCCUGGUAGUCCACGCCGUAAACGAUGGAUACUAGCUGUCCGGAUGCAAAUCUGGGCGGCCAAGCGAAAGUGAUAAGUAUCCCACCUGGGGAGUACGUCCGCAAGGAUGAAACUCAAAGGAAUUGACGGGGGCCCGCACAAGCGGUGGAGCAUGUGGUUUAAUUCGAUGAUACGCGAGGAACCUUACCAGGGCUUAAAUGUGGUCUGACAGCUUUAGAGAUAGAGCCUCCUUCGGGCAGAUCACAAGGUGCUGCAUGGUUGUCGUCAGCUCGUGCCGUGAGGUGUCAGGUUAAGUCCUAUAACGAGCGCAACCCCUGCCGUUAGUUGCCAGCAUGUAAAGAUGGGGACUCUAACGGGACUGCCGGUGCAAACCGCGAGGAAGGUGGGGAUGACGUCAAAUCAUCACGGCCCUUACGUCCUGGGCCACACACGUGCUACAAUGGCCGGUACAGAGAGCAGCCACUGGGCAACCAGGAGCGAAUCUAUAAAACCGGUCACAGUUCGGAUCGGGGUCUGCAACUCGACCCCGUGAAGCUGGAAUCGCUAGUAAUCGGAUAUCAGCCAUGAUCCGGUGAAUACGU